AAGAAGGAUGGUUCUUGGAGGAUGCGUGUUGACUGUUGAGCUGUCAACAAGAUUACGGUAAAGUAUAAAUAUCUCAUUCCUAGGCUAGAUGACAUGUCAGAUGAAUUGCAUGGUGCUUAUGUCUUUUUCGAAAAUUGAUUUGAAAAGUGGAUACCACCAGAUUAAGAUGAAAGUAGGAGAUGAGUGAAAAACUGCUUUCAAAACAAAAUAUGAUUUAUAUGAGUGGUUAGUUAUGCCUUUUGGAUUGACUAACGCACCUAGUACAUUCAUGCGAUUAAUGAACCCUGCUUUGCGUGCAAUCAUUUGUAAGUUUGUAGUGGUAUACUUUAAUGAUAUAUUAAUGUACAGUAAAAAUAUGGAAGAGCAUAUGCUUCAUUUGAGGUGUGUGUCUGAAGUGCUUAGAAAAGAGAAAUUAUAUGCUAAUCUUAAAAAGUGUACU
RNAcentral lists this unclassified non-coding RNA (439 nucleotides) under Hevea brasiliensis (rubber tree). The record is from RNAcentral. Lineage: Eukaryota; Viridiplantae; Streptophyta; Magnoliopsida; Malpighiales; Euphorbiaceae.